UGGGGAAUCUUGCACAAUGGAGGAAACUCUGAUGCAGCGACGCCGCGUGAGCGAUGAAGCCCUUCGGGGUGUAAAGCUCUUUCGACGGGAACGAUAAUGACGGUACCCGGAGAAGAAGCUGCGGCUAACUACGUGCCAGCAGCCGCGGUAAUACGUAGGCAGCAAACGUUGUUCGGAAUUACUGGGCGUAAAGAGUGUGUAGGCGGUUUUGCAAGUUUGGUGUGAAAUCUCCCGGCUUAACUGGGAGGGUGCGCCGAAAACUGCAAGGCUCGAGUACUGGAGAGGAAAGCGGAAUUCCUGGUGUAGCGGUGAAAUGCGUAGAUAUCAGGAGGAACACCGGUGGUGUAGACGGCUUUCUGGACAGUCACUGACGCUGAGACACGAAAGCGUGGGGAGCAAACA
Molecule: ribosomal RNA, 402 nt
Filed under: uncultured bacterium
Lineage: Bacteria
Description: bacterial SSU rRNA
Rfam family: Bacterial small subunit ribosomal RNA
Source: RNAcentral